Molecule: non-coding RNA, 2222 nt
Organism: Physcomitrium patens
Lineage: Eukaryota; Viridiplantae; Streptophyta; Bryopsida; Funariales; Funariaceae
Source: RefSeq, a predicted model, not a curated record
UCUGACGAUCGCUAUGGUUGCAAUCACGGCACUCUCUCCCAUGCGCGAAAGCAACUAGACAAGUUUUGGAACCUCUGAGGCGCGUACCCAGCUGACGAGUCGAUGCUAAUUUCAUGUUGAAGCCUUCGUCGUCGUCGUCCCCGUCGUUGUCGCUAGACACUGGUGUCUGGUGCGGUGGAAGACUACCAAAAGUGCUGCAGAGAUAUUGUGGAACAAUGAUUUGUGAUCCUCUGUGCAGUCCUUGAAGCAGCAACAGCUUACUCAGAGAAGGAGGGACACACCUGCUAUCUGCUAGCUUAUAAGACACCCACGGAAUUUUACAAGGUUUUGCGAAGUCAGUGUGCAGAACGAAUCCAUACAACGACGCAGAUGGCUUUUCUUCAGCCAAGAUUCUGCAACGGGCUGGUACUGCAAGAGUUUGCACAUUUCCCUCAGUCCAGAUUGCGUCAUUCCCGACACUGUACUGAGAGCAAUGUUCCAAGUACCACUUGAUUCGAGAAAGGAAAUAUCUAAGAUCCUUUAACCAAGUGAAAUGUGAUUUUCAGGUUUCACACAGGGAUGUGCCGAAAAGCAUUUGACCGUUUCCAUUCCCAGAUACUUUCGUAAUUUCGCUUUGUUGAUGUUCGUGUUUACAGUCCUUUCAAUUUUCGAUCACUGACUUGUGCCCUCAUCAGAUUAAAUGGACAGCGAAGCUUCCAAUCAGGACAAUAAGAUCCCCAGUAUCCCAUAAAAACACAUUGAUCCACAAUUCAGCACGUAGCCAGAUCAUACUUGGACUGAGAAAUUGGAAACGAGUUAAAGUGGAUAUCAAAACUAUCUGGUGUAUUAGUAAAUGUUGCAGUUAGGUGCUCUAGAGCUGUAGGGGGUUUUUCGCCACAUUUAGUCGCCGCGUCUAAAGUCUCACUUCAGGGUGAUUUUGGGGACAGACUGACAUGGCCUGGGCAAUUGCGACUCUGCAGUUAAUCAGAAAUCACAGACGGGUUUUGGUGACAAGGGAGAGAGGAUGCAAACCGUUUUGAAGCUCCUCCUGCAGUAGCCCCAGGAUGAGCCGAUGGCGUUUCACGAGGCUAAGCUUCCGCCAGAACCUCCGUCAGAAAGCCCCUACAAAAGGAGAGUUGCCAGGCCCUUGGUAAGAGCAGAAUCCGACUCGCCUCGAAGACCACGCAAAUCACUCACAUUGGGGACAGGCAGCCUUACAACUUAUUCUCUGGAGUGCAAAACUUCUCAACUACAAGCUUCAGCAUCUGUAUGUAUCGGCAAGUGCUGGUAUCGAGCGCAAUGCUUCCCAACCGCCUGAAACGAGUGCACAAUCUCACGCAGCCUAGAUGGAAGCUUCUCCUCUGCGCGUGUGAAGUCGAGGCCAAACACCUCAAAAAAUGGGCGCAACAUGUUCCUUGAUAGAGUAAGGCAGAGUUGGUGAUUUAUUUGUGAUGUCAUUGAAGGGGAAGAUAUAAGGUGAACUAGAAAGGCGGAGGAAUCAGAGUGGUUUAUCUCACUCAUUCGUCGCAUUGGAGAAGGUCUCAUCAGCAGCAGUUUCAGCACCAAAAUUGAGACUCAAAGUAUAGCGUAAGAUUCCGAAGAAAGGCAGCCCUGCCAAAGAAAAUUCGACUGACGAGAGGAAAUUCAAUCAAUCGAAAACCAAAUACUCUUUCAAUUAUGUAUUCAUGCCGAGAACUCAAACACCAGCCACCGCAGCCUCGAUGUCAUACAGUUGUCCAAAAAAGUUCAAAAUGCACAGAACUGAACAACAAAAAUAGCACUAUCACACCAUGCUCAUUCGCAUUCUGCGAGCUCGGACUAGUUCAUUAGUCCAAGAAGAGCUGGUCACAAUCGAACAAAAUGAGGAGAGCAAACCUGAAAAAUGUAUUGGGGAGCUAAAAAUGAACAUACUUGCAAUCGGUGAACGAUAUAAUCGAAGUUGUGAGGCACGAAUUCCGUGAUGUGCACCUCGUAGUGAAACGACGGUCUAUAGUUGGCAUUGAGAAGUGUGAGGGUGGGGAAGGCAACUGAUUGUACGUCGAUCGUCACGGGGUGGUGAAAUGCGACUUGUAACCGCUGAAGAUGAUAGGAAUGAACUGAUUGCUCGUAUUCAAACACUCAAUCUGUGCUGAUGAUGAUGGCUCAGCAUAUGAUUGUGAGAAAUUGCCCAGUGAGCUGGAUUAAACACGUUCAUCGCUAGUAUGAACUUGUGCUAAGUAAAUACCUUUCGGUUCAUUCCUGCA